Molecule: ribosomal RNA, 494 nt
Filed under: uncultured bacterium
Lineage: Bacteria
Description: partial 16S ribosomal RNA
Rfam family: Bacterial small subunit ribosomal RNA
Source: RNAcentral
GACGAACGCUGGCGGCGUGCUUAACACAUGCAAGUCGAACGGUGAAGCGCCUUCCUUUUUGGUGGGUGUGGAUGAGUGGCGAACGGGUGAGUAACACGUGAGUAACCUGCCCCCUUCUUCUGGAUAACCGCAUGAAAGUGUGGCUAAUACGGGAUAUUCUGGGUCUGUCGCAUGAUGGGUCUGGGAAAGAUAUUGUUUCGGUGGGGGAUGGGCUCGCGGCCUAUCAGCUUGUUGGUGGGGUGAUGGCCUACCAAGGCGGUGACGGGUAGCCGGCCUGAGAGGGUGGACGGUCACACUGGGACUGAGACACGGCCCAGACUCCUACGGGAGGCAGCAGGGGGGAAUAUUGCACAAUGGGCGCAAGCCUGAUGCAGCGACGCCGCGGGAGGGAUGGAGGCCUGCGGGUUGUGAACCUCUUUCGCCAGUGAAGCAGGCCUGCCUCGUUUGUGGGUGGGUUGACGGUAGCUGGAGAAGAAGCGCCGGCUAACUACGUG